GAAAAUUGAAAUUUUAUUAACAUCCAAAUUCAUGUACAAAUUACAUCACUUUCAAAAAUAAAAAUGUUUAUCAUAAAGUUUUACAUCGUUCAAAUGCUUCACUAUUCUAAAAAUUAAAAUGUUCAACAAUAACCCUGGAAUGAUGACAACAAACAUCUAAUCCCAAGCUAACCUCAUCAUCACCUAGAAGAUCAUCAUUCUCACAAGGUAACCUGCACAAUCAAAUUGAAAUCACCCAUCAAAGAGUUUGAAAGAUGGUCAUACGAGCCAUUCACAAACUGCAUCCAUAUCAAUUUACAGAAAAAGAUUAAGUUCUCCUAUCACAUGAAGUCGUCAAAGCUCACAGUUGACCAAAAGAAAUAUCCAACUCCAGAAAAAAGAUUUAAUAUCAGACACAAUUUAUAAGUUUGGUAGGUCUAAAUAAAGCUACAGGUUCCUACAACUGCUAGAAAGCUUUGGUUGUUUAGCUGGUUUAAUACAAUAAAAAUGAGUUUUUUAAAAGAAGUUCAUUAAGCACCACUUUCACAACAUACAACAGAUUAAUGCCAGUUAUAAUCACAAUAUGCAAAUGAAUGAUGAAUGAAAUUACUUCAAAUGGAAGUAGUUGCGUUGUGAAAUGGAAAGUAGAAAGCACAACACCGUUCCCCGUCUCAAUCCUGUUACAAUAGAAAGAAAAAUAAAUUGAAAUCUAACUAAAGAAUACAGAUCCCAGAAAAAAUCCUUCAGUAAGAUUCAACUAUUUAUUGGAACAAAAAGACUUCGAUCAAUGUGUGAGGAUGGGUCACUUGCUUGAGAAAAUAUCACAAUCCAAUUUAAUCAAAUUGUAUGUGGGCAACCAACAAAAUGAGAAUGCAAAGCUGUCUACAGAAGAGGAGCUAAGAAAAUUUUGCAACCUUACUAAUGCUAGGCAGGUACCAAGGCAUCAAAGAAACGGGUCAAAUAUCAUUUAAUUAUUUGCCUGAACAUGGUGGUCAAUAUCCAAGCAUUUCAGUGCCAGAAAUGUAACUUAAGCAGUAUUUUUUGACCGAACGAAGAAAGAAGAAGAUCGACGGAGAAAUUUCAGAGAAGAUAGAAGUACAGAGAGAGAGAGAGAG
Molecule: long non-coding RNA, 1094 nt
Filed under: Aquilegia coerulea
Lineage: Eukaryota; Viridiplantae; Streptophyta; Magnoliopsida; Ranunculales; Ranunculaceae
Description: long non-coding RNA (ACOE_LNC001733)
Source: RNAcentral